This 497-nucleotide ribosomal RNA is filed under the name uncultured bacterium. Its description in RNAcentral is "partial 16S ribosomal RNA". It matches the Rfam family "Bacterial small subunit ribosomal RNA", at positions 28 to 507 of the family's 1533-position model. The record is from RNAcentral.
GAUGAACGCUGGCGGCGUGCCUAAUACAUGCAAGUCGAGCGAACAGACGAGGAGCUUGCUCCUCUGACGUUAGCGGCGGACGGGUGAGUAACACGUGGAUAACCUACCUAUAAUACUGGGAUAACUUCGGAAAACCGCUGCUAAUACCGGAUAAUAAAUUGAACCGCAUGGUUCAAUAGUGAAUCACGGUUUUCCUGUCUCUUAUAGAUGGUUCCGCGCCGCAUUAUUUAGUUGGUAAGGUAACGGCUUACCAAGGAAACGAAGCGUAGCCGACCUGAGAGGAUGAUCAGCCACAACAGAACCGAGAAACGGUCCAGAAUCCUAAGGGAGGGCGCAGUGGGGAAUACUGGACAAUGGGGGGAAGCCUGAACCAGGCAACCCGCCUGGGGGAAGAAGGCCUUCGGGUUCAAAAACCUUUUUUUUGGGGAAAAAAAAAAGGAGAUUAAAACCACGCCGUUCUGAAGGUACCCAAAUAAAAAACCCCGGCUAACUUGGUG